GGGAUGACACAGUAGGAUAAGCUAAGCACACUGUUGGUUAUGUGUGCCCAAGCAUUGAGGCAGUCAAAGUAGGCAAAUCCGCUUUGAUAAUGCUGGGAUGUGAUGGGGAGCGAAAUUUAGUAGCGAAGUAGCUGAUUUCACACUGUCAAGAAAAGUCUCUAUCGAGGUUAAAGGUACCCGUACCGCAAACCGACACAGGUGGGUGAGGAGAGUAUCCUAAGGCCAGCGAGAGAACUGUUGUUAAGGAACUCGGCAAAAUGACCCCGUAACUUAGGGAUAAGGGGUGCCACCAUCAGGUGGCCGCAGAGAAUAGGCCCAAGCGACUGUUUACCAAAAACAUAGGUUUCUGCUAAGUCGCAAGACGAUGUAUAGGAGCUGACGCCUGCCCGGUGCUGGAAGGUUAAGGGGAUCUGUUAGAGCAAUCGAAGCAGUGAACUUAAGCCCCAGUAAACGGCGGCCGUAACUAUAACGGUCCUAAGGUAGCGAAAUUCCUUGUCGGGUAAGUUCCGACCCGCACGAAAGGCGUAACGAUUUGGGCACUGUCUCAACAACAGACUCGGUGAAAUUGUAAUUCCGGUGAAGAUGCCGGAUACCUGCGACAGGACGGAAAGACCCCAUGGAGCUUUACUGUAGCUUGACAUUGGGUCUUGGUACUACAUGUACAGGAUAGGUGGGAGGCUUUGAAACCAGGACGCCAGUUUUGGCGGAGCCAUCCUUGGGAUACCACCCUUGUA
This 734-nucleotide ribosomal RNA is filed under the name Clostridioides difficile. RNAcentral describes it as "partial 23S ribosomal RNA". It matches the Rfam family "Bacterial large subunit ribosomal RNA", at positions 1466 to 2210 of the family's 2925-position model. Lineage: Bacteria; Bacillati; Bacillota; Clostridia; Peptostreptococcales; Peptostreptococcaceae. The record is from RNAcentral.